This 433-nucleotide ribosomal RNA is filed under the name uncultured bacterium. RNAcentral's name for it is "partial 16S ribosomal RNA". It matches the Rfam family "Bacterial small subunit ribosomal RNA", at positions 29 to 507 of the family's 1533-position model. The record is from RNAcentral.
AACGAACGCUGGCGGCAUGCUUAACACAUGCAAGUCGAACGAGACCUUCGGGGUUAGUGGCGCACGGGUGCGUAACGCGUGGGAACCUGCCCAUAGGUGCGGAAUAACUCCCCGAAAGGGGUGUUAAUACCGGAAAAGGUCUUUGGUCCAAUGAUUUAUCGCCUGUGGAUGGGCCCGCGUUGGAUUAGCUAGUUGGUAGAGUAAGAGCCUAUCAAGGCGUCGUUGCAUAGCUGGUGUGAGAGGAUGUACAGCCACACUGGGACUGAGACACGGCCCAGACUCCGACGGGAGGCAGCAGUGGGGGAUGAUAGACAAUGGGAGAAAGGCUGCUCCAGCGAUGCCGCGUGAGUGAUGGAGGCCUUAGGGUUGUAAAGCUCUUUUACCCGGGAUGAUAAUGACAGUACCGGGGGAAUAAGCCCCGGCUAACUCCGUG